Molecule: small nuclear RNA, 18 nt
Filed under: Arabidopsis thaliana (thale cress)
Lineage: Eukaryota; Viridiplantae; Streptophyta; Magnoliopsida; Brassicales; Brassicaceae
Description: snRNA_01656
Source: RNAcentral
UGAUGCAUGGAGCACUAA